GAUGAACGCUGGCGGCGUGCCUAAUACAUGCAAGUCGAACGAACAGAUGCUUCGCUUUCUCCUCUUACGUUAGCGGCGGACGGGUGAGUAACACGUUGAUAACCUCCCUAUAAUACUGGGAUAACUUCGGGAAACCUGCGCUAAUACCGCAUAAUCUAUUUAACCGCAUGGUUCAAUAGUUAACGACGGUUUUUCUGUCCCUUAUCUAUGGAUCCGCGCCGUAUGAGCUAGUUGGUAAGGUAACGGCUUACCAAGGCAACGAUGCGUAGCCGAACUGAGAGGGUGAUCGGCCACACUGGAACUGAGACACGGACAAGACGCCUAAGAGAGGCAGCAGAAGGGAAUCGUAGGCAAUGGGCGAAAGCAUGACGGAGUAAGGCCGAGUGAGUGAUGAAGGUCUUCGGAGAGGAAAAACCUGUUAUGAGGGAAGAACAAAUGUGUAAGUAACUAUGCACGUAUUGACGGUACCUAAAGAGAAAGCAACGGCUAACUACGUG
Molecule: ribosomal RNA, 497 nt
Filed under: uncultured bacterium
Lineage: Bacteria
Description: partial 16S ribosomal RNA
Rfam family: Bacterial small subunit ribosomal RNA
Source: RNAcentral